CUGUGUUUCAGUGAUACUCUGAUUACCCAUUGGUAUUUUCUUUGGCAAGACACAGAGUUCCUAUCCCCAAGAGCAGUCCA
RNAcentral lists this long non-coding RNA (80 nucleotides) under Fukomys damarensis (Damara mole-rat). RNAcentral describes it as "lncRNA (ENSFDAG00000030857.1)". The record is from RNAcentral. Lineage: Eukaryota; Metazoa; Chordata; Mammalia; Rodentia; Bathyergidae.